RNAcentral lists this ribosomal RNA (253 nucleotides) under uncultured bacterium. RNAcentral's name for it is "partial 16S ribosomal RNA". It matches the Rfam family "Bacterial small subunit ribosomal RNA", at positions 524 to 776 of the family's 1533-position model. The record is from RNAcentral.
UACGGAGGGUGCAAGCGUUAUCCGGAUUUACUGGGUUUAAAGGGAGCGUAGGCGGACAAAUAAGUCAGUGGUGAAAUCUUCGAGCUUAACUCGGAAACUGCCAUUGAUACUAUUUGUCUUGAAUAUUUUGGAGGUAAGCGGAAUAUGUCAUGUAGCGGUGAAAUGCUUAGAUAUGACAUAGAACACCAAUUGCGAAGGCAGCUUGCUACGAAAUUAUUGACGCUGAGGCUCGAAAGCGUGGGGAUCAAACAGG